This 466-nucleotide ribosomal RNA is filed under the name uncultured bacterium. RNAcentral describes it as "bacterial SSU rRNA". It matches the Rfam family "Bacterial small subunit ribosomal RNA", at positions 337 to 795 of the family's 1533-position model. The record is from RNAcentral.
UCCUACGGGGGGCAGCAGUCGAGAAUCUUUCACAAUGGGGGCAACCCUGAUGGAGCGACGCCGCGUGGAGGAUAAGGUCUUCGGAUUGUAAACUCCUGUCAUGUGUGAACAAGGCAGCCGGGCUAAUACCUUGAGCUGAUUGAUGGUAACACAAGAGGAAGAGACGGCUAACUCUGUGCCAGCAGCCGCGGUAAUACAGAGGUCUCAAGCGUUGUUCGGAAUCACUGGGCGUCAAGGGUGCGUAGGUGGCGUGGUAAGUCAGAUGUGAAAGCCCGGGGCUCAACCUCGGAAUUGCAUCCGAUACUGCCGUGCUUGAGUACUGGGGAGGUGACUAGAAUUCUAGGUGUAGCAGUGAAAUGCGUAGAUAUCUAGAGAAAUACCAAAGGCGUAGGCAGGUCACUGGACAGUUACUGACACUGAGGCACGAAGGCCAGGGGAGCAAACGGGAUUAGAUACCCCGGUAGUC